AUGUGUUUGUGCAGCGGAGUGGUGGAGGAGGACCCCAUCGCCGUGCUCCGGCAGUCCAUGAUCACCCAACGUCUCCGAUGCCCUCCUCAUCAACGGCCAGCCAAGAGACGAGCAUCAUCCCGGUGGUCGCCGGCGAGACGAGCCUUCUGCGCAUGCAUCAUCAACGCGGCCAUGAACACCGAGCUCUUCGUGAGCCUCGCCGGGCACAGGAUGACCGCGGACGCCAUGUACUCCAAGCCCUUCGAGACCACCGUCGUCCUUCUCGGCCCCGGCCAGACCACCGACGUCCUCGUCACCGCGCACGCCGCACCGGGACGGUACUACCUCGCCGCACGCGCCUACGCCUCCGCCCAGGGCGUUCCCUUCGAUAACACCACCGCCACCGCCAUCUUCCAGUACAAGAACGCCCCCCACCACCGGCGCCAACACCUUCAAUGGCCCGGUGGGCCGGUCAUCUACUAG
This 462-nucleotide ribosomal RNA is filed under the name Triticum aestivum (bread wheat). Its description in RNAcentral is "partial small subunit ribosomal RNA". The record is from RNAcentral. Lineage: Eukaryota; Viridiplantae; Streptophyta; Magnoliopsida; Poales; Poaceae.